UGGCUUAUAGUUCAACGGAUAGAACACUUCGCUACGAACGAAGUGAUACAAGUUCGAUUCUUGUUAAGCCAA
Molecule: transfer RNA, 72 nt
Filed under: Pinibacter aurantiacus
Lineage: Bacteria; Pseudomonadati; Bacteroidota; Chitinophagia; Chitinophagales; Chitinophagaceae
Rfam family: tRNA
About the family: Transfer RNA (tRNA) molecules are approximately 80 nucleotides in length.
Source: Rfam by way of RNAcentral